CGAAGGAGCGGGGGCCCCCGGAGCAGGGUCCGGCGGCUAGUAAGCGGAGGAGCGCGGUGCUGGAGCUGCAGGGCAUCCUGGGUGCCGUGAGGAGGGCGAGCGGGCGGCGGAGCAGCGCGAAGGGCAGGGACGGGCAGCUGGAAUUCAUCUUGCAGCGCCGGCGCCGGGCGCUGGAUGCCACCCUGGGCCCCCCCGGCCCCCCCCGCAGGACCGUGAGGAUGCUGGGGCUGCGGGGAGGCCGGGUGCUGGGGACAAGGACGUCGACACGGCUCCGUCCAGCUGCUCACCAGGGAGCGGGGACGGGGUCCCGUUCCGACCCCGGGCGGUGGGUGGUCUCCCCAGGACCCGGCCCUUCACCCGCCCGGCCGGGGGCAGGGGGGGGCUGGGGUAGAGCCCCCCCCCCCCCUGCCCUUUACUUGGCGGAGACGGCUGCUGCAAGCUCUCACCCUCAUCUUCCAGCAGCUCCCAUCCUCUCGUGUUUUAAUUAAAAAGAGGUGGCACCGG
Long non-coding RNA from Tyto alba (common barn owl), 504 nucleotides. RefSeq lists it as uncharacterized. NCBI's taxonomy places the organism in Eukaryota, Metazoa, Chordata, Aves, Strigiformes, Tytonidae. The transcript is spliced from 4 exons. The record is from RefSeq and is a predicted model, not a curated record.